Molecule: long non-coding RNA, 4135 nt
Organism: Eriocheir sinensis (Chinese mitten crab)
Lineage: Eukaryota; Metazoa; Arthropoda; Malacostraca; Decapoda; Varunidae
Exons: 2
Source: RefSeq, a predicted model, not a curated record
GUGUGUAAAUUUAUUCCAAAAAGCCUUCCUGAACAACUAUAUUCACCCAAUAAAAUGCCAGAAAAUAGAUAUGAGGGUAUAUAUAUAUAAUAUAUAGAUAUACAUAUAAAGUCUUUUACGCCGUUACUAUGCACAACCACAGCCAUCAAUGCUUGCAGGUGAUGUGAUGGAUGAUCUGAGCCACGUAAGGAUGGUAUGGAUGACAGCCACACCUAUAGCAAAUACUGACACUGAGAAACUGGUAGCUCUCUCAGAAUAAAACGGGACAUAAUUAACACUGAGAAACUGGUAGCUCUCUCAGAAUAAAAAGGGAUAUUAUUAACACUGAGAAACUGGUAGCUCUCUCAGAAUAAUGAAGGAAAGAGUAAGUUUGACCCUGAUUGCAAGAACUGACAUUACUAACCUAACUUGUAGCUCUCAAAAAAAAAAAAAAAAAAAUAGAAUGCUCUGAGAAUCAUGUCGAGGAAGGGAACACCGAGACAGACAAGCAGAGGUUUAACACACACACACACACACACACACACACACACACACACACACACACACACACUGCCCCUUUGACCCCACCCAUUUGACCUCUCCACCCAAAACUGACCUCUUUUCACACACACACCGCCACUUUGACCCCACCCUUUUGACCCCUCCACACAAAAUUGACCUCUUCACACACACUGACCCUCUGACCUCUUCACCCAAAAUUGACCUCUUCUGACCUAUCAUUUUGUUUUGAGCAGCUUCUGAUGACCUAUUUUGUUGCCGUUCUUGUUUUUUGCUCACACACACACACACACACACUAGCAAUACUCAGGGUUCAAAAGAUUCCAUUGUUACAAGCUACACAUUAACAUUCGCCAAGAUGGAGUGACCAACAAGCACACAUACAGUCACCAAUGAGUAAUACAGUCCAGGUAAUAUUGUCAUUGUUACAUAUUCUCACAUAUAUUACAUUUUCCAAUCAACUGGAUAUACGUAUUUUCCCUUUCAUGCAUAAUAAGGGUACGAAAUUUCUGCCCCAGCCUUCCAGUAUAUAAUUAUUUUCACAUUUAUCAUAUUUUUUAAUCAAUUGGAUGUACGGAAUUUCUCUUCGUGUAUAAUAAGCAUACGAGAUUUCCGCCCCAACCUUCCAGUAUAUAACUAUUUUCACAUUCAUUAUAUUUUAGAAUCAACGGCAUAUGUGUUUUUCCCCUCCAUGCGUUAGGCUGAGAGAUUUCCGCUCCAGCCUUCCAGUGUAUUUGUUUCAGUGUAUUUUAUUUCUGCUCCAACCUUCCAGUGAAUAAAUAUGAAAUGAAUCUACCAGUAUUAUGCCUCAAGGUAUUAUGAGUUAAGUACGUCCAUUAACAUUUUCAUCCAGUCCUAUGUGUUAGGUGAACCACAACAUAGCACGGGCCUUAAGAUGAAUAUAUAUAACAAUAGCAAUAUGAAAAACUGGGAGUACCUUUUGGCACUUUCUGCAUACCCGGACAUAUGAUUUGCAAUGCCCAGAAACACAUCAUCAGCUGGCAUAAAGAAUUAACCUGGAUAUAUGAUUUAACCCGUCCACUGCGAUUGGCAUGGAUUUGGCCUUCACUGGUAGCCUGGUAACAUACAGUCCCAGGUCUUUCUCUGCCUCUGUGGUGGAUAGUGGAGUGUUUCCCAUGUGGUAUUGGUAUGCUGGAUUUCCCCUCCCAAGCUGCAGGACUUUACAUUUUUCUUCAUUGAAUUGUAGCAGCCACUUUUUGUUCCAUUCUUAUAGCUUGGUGAGGUCUUCUUGUAGGAAAUCCACACUCAAGGGGUUAAAAUGCCUCAAAAUACAUGAUUGACUGUCAUAAAAAACUAACCUGACUGCAUGACUUAAAUUGCCGUGAAAUACAUGGUUUAAAUUGUCAUGAAAAGGCGACUUGCUGGCCUGUUCAUGAUGGCACGGUAUAGAUAACAAGCUGUCAUAAAAAGGUUAACUUGGAUACAUGCUUUAAAAUGUCUUGAAAUACAUUGCCGUUAUAAAAGGCGACUGGCUGGGCUGUUCAUAAUGGACCACAAGCCACAGCAACAAGUGCCAGGACCUUGAUCAAGCUUAUUCAGGAAGACAUUGGCAGCAACACAUAGUUUGGUGGUAGUCAACACACAGCACAGUCAUACCUCGCUUUACGAGCUUAAUUUGUUCCAGAAUUUCACUCACAAACCCAAAAACUUUGUAAACCAAAAAACUUGUAAACCAAAACAAACGCACACUGUAGAUUUGAAAACAAAGAUCGCACACUAGAGCACAAAUGUAAGCGGACACAAGCAUGCGGGUGCCACCUCUGCGAGUGUACAACGCAGACUGAGACCCCAUUCCCAUUGUUUUCCGCUCUGAGCGCUCUCGUCUUGCGGCGAACAAAGGGAACCCACGUACAAACAGGAUGCUUGUACACAAAGUCACCGCUCAUAAACCAAAGCAUUUUUUUUGGCUCGUAAAUCGAAACACUCGUAAAGUAAGGCACUCGUAAACCGAGGUAUUACUGUGGUACCAUUAUAUAAAGAUUGACACAGUUAGUUCUUAUUUAACAAUAUAUAUGUGGCAGAUUAGUACAAGAUCUUCAAUGACACACCCAAUGCUAUGAACAAGUCACCCUCACCGUCGAAAAAUGACAGGCAGUUAGUUUACAAAGGCGGUGAUAUACUGAAAUUGAGUUAGUUCUUGUUUGGUAGUAUAUAUGUGGCAGAUUAGUACAAGAUCUUCAAUGACACACCCAAUGCUAUGAACAAGUCACCCUCACCGUCGAAAAAUGACAGGCAGUUGGUUUACAUAGGCGAUGAUAUACUGAAAUUGAGUUAGUUCUUGUUUGGUAGUAUAUAUGUGGUAGAUUAGUACAAGAUCUUCAAUGACACACCCAAUGCUAUGAACAAGUCACCCUCACCGUCGAAAAAUGACAAGCAGUUCGUUUACGUAGGUGAUCAAAUAUAAAAAUUGACAGUUAGUUCUUAUUUGGUAGUAUAUAUGUGGCAGAUUAGUACAAGAUCUUCAAUGACACACCCAAGACCAUGAACAAGAGUCACCCUCACCACCGAUAAAUGACAGGCAGUUAGUUCACGAGGGCAACGAUACAUUAAAAUUGACACAGUAGUAUGACGGAUUAGUACGAGAUCUGUUACGAUACAUCCAAUACAAUAUACAUGAGUUACCUUCAGCCCUAAACCCUAUUGAUUGAGAAAAGAGAACACCAUACGUAAGACCUUGACAUUGUUCCCAAACCCGUGAUAGCUGAGAAAAAGAUAUCUCAGUGGCCCCUCGCACACACGCCCUUAAGGUAAAGUUGGGGCGUACACUAUAGCUGCUCAUGGCCUUAGUGCUUAUCUCUGUAUCAUUGGCCCUUGGGUGAUGAACGAGAACCUAUUACCCAUUACAUGAGAAAAGAUUGGCUAUAAGAAGAUGGGCUAUAGAUGAACAAGAUGAAGAAGAAGAAGAAGAUUAAAUAAGAAAAGACUGAGUAUAAUAAGGUGGGCUAUAGAUGAAGAAGAAGAUUAUAUAAGAAAAGACUGACUAUAAGAAGACAGGCUAUUGAUGAAGAAGAAGAAAGAAGAAGGUUAUAUGAGAAAAGAUCGGCUAUGUAGAAGAUGGGCCAUUGACAAAGAAGAAAGAAGAUUGUAUAUGAGAAAAGACACAUACGUAUAUCUGAGGCUAUAUCAAAUGCCUUACCCUUCAAGACACCUUCAAGAAACCUAACUUAGCCAGAAAAAUAAGUUACGGUAUUGCACUUCAUAAGAAAAUAACAAAAUCCCUUGACCAAAUGCAUUACCCUUUUAAGUAAGUAACAGGUGACAUUAAAAUACAUGAGAAAAUAAUAAAAUCCCUUAACCAAAUGCAUUACCCUUUUAAGUAAGUAACAGGUGACAUUAAAAUACAUGAGAAAAUAAUAAAAUCCCUUGACCAAAUGCAUUACCCUUUUAAGUAAGUAACAGGUGACAUUGAAAUACAUGAGAAAAUAAUAAAAUCCCUUAACCAAAUGCAUUACCCUUUUAAGUAAGUAACAGGUGACAUUAAAAUACAUGAGAAAAUAAUAAAAUCUCUACAACAUAUGCAUUGCCCUUCCAAGUAUCUCAUGCAGAAAAAUAAGUUAUAGAUAUUCAUUAAAUGAUAAAACAGUUACGUCCCUCCACCAAUGCAUUACCCUUUGAA